This 312-nucleotide non-coding RNA is filed under the name Thermoanaerobacterales bacterium. Its description in RNAcentral is "T-box sequence". It matches the Rfam family "T-box leader". From Rfam's summary of the family: Uncharged tRNA acts as the effector for transcription antitermination of genes in the T-box leader family. Lineage: Bacteria; Bacillati; Bacillota; Clostridia; Thermoanaerobacterales. The record is from RNAcentral.
UAAAAGGCGAGGAACGGGAGGAGUACCGGUCUCCAACCGGUCACAGAGAGCUGGGGGUUGGUGGGAACCAGUCCGGAGGACCGGGAAAUACACCUGGGAGCCGCUCUUCCGAAAAACAGCCACCUAUUCUUCCCGCGCCGCAAGUCCCGGCUUUUAAGCCUAAGGAGGAAGGUGCAGUUAGUAUCCGAGGCGGCUCUGAGGGAGACUGUUGAGUAGGAAGAGACAGUUUGUCCUGUUAAAGACUCGAAAGAGGCCUUACCUCUUCAGUGAGGCUAUUAGGGUGGUACCGCGGGAAUCGCUCUCGCCCCUAGA